Homo sapiens (human) is the source of this 228-nucleotide long non-coding RNA. RefSeq lists it as uncharacterized. The record is from RefSeq and is a predicted model, not a curated record. The transcript is spliced from 2 exons. Lineage: Eukaryota; Metazoa; Chordata; Mammalia; Primates; Hominidae.
CCUUUGUGUCUCUGUGCAUGUACCACCUUUUCCAGAAAUUGUCAUGGAAGCCUUUUUUUCACUCUGAUAUGAUCAAGCAGAAUACAGACAUUAUGAAGACAGGCUUUUGGUCUGUUUUAUACUAGCCUGGAACAAAGGAAGAGCUCAAUACAUAUUUGUUGAGUAAAUGAAUGGAUGAGUAAAUGUAACAGAAAAGAAGCCUUCAGAAAAUAAAAAUGCCUGACAGAA